CCCCGCCUUUAAACCGCGCGGCGGGACCGCGGCCUCAGUGACGUGGUCGCACACCGCCCGGCAAUCCUGGAGCUGCCCGCGUCGGCCCUCAGUCCUCUCGACACACUCACCCGCUCUCCGCGCGUCCCCCGGAGCCUCGGAGAGCCAGCGGCCCUGAGUCAGGUGGACUAUUCCGAAGUCUUCGAUGGCUAGUUAGAAAAGUUGUGUUUUAUUUGGAAGAAGAGGAUCUCAUCAUGUUGCUGAAGAGAACCCUGAACUCCUAAUCCUCUGGUCUUCCCAAGUGCUGGGAUGACAAGCAUGCACUUCUAUCAAGUUUACUCAGGUCAAGUGAUGGGCACAGACCUAUGGUAGUGCUGGACUGCCCCACACCCACCUGACCUCACCAGACUCCUGGGCCAGGCUCUCCAGCAGCAGUCCUCAAAGCUAGGGCUGGCUGCCCAGGACAAGAGACUUGUCCUCACAUGGAGCUCCUGCUGGGCGUGGGCCCUCAAGGACUGCCUCUACCAGGACCGUGGUCCUUCAAGAUGGGUCAGUGUGGGACCUUGCUUCCAAGCCGGAUGACCUGGCUUGAUCCCUGCAGCCCUCCUGGUGGAGGAAGGGAACAGACUCCAGCAAGUUGUCCUCUGAUCUCCACGGGAGCACUAUGGUCUGCCAGAGAAGGAGUAAAGCAAGACAAAGUUUGCUGUCCUGACUGCUCCAGCCUUUCCUCCUCAUCCUCUUUGUCCUGAAGAGCCUCAACAGGAGGAAGGAGAAUACUGCUACUCCCAGGCUGUGUGGUUCUGGGGCUCUAACCCAGGGCUUCAUGAACGAGCAGUAAACACUCUACCAUUCUAAGCCCCUCGAGUUUUCUUUUUCAAUAGAAACCAUAGAAGAAGAGAAUUGAUAAUAAA
Molecule: long non-coding RNA, 890 nt
Organism: Mesocricetus auratus (golden hamster)
Lineage: Eukaryota; Metazoa; Chordata; Mammalia; Rodentia; Cricetidae
Exons: 5
Source: RefSeq, a predicted model, not a curated record